Molecule: long non-coding RNA, 1470 nt
Organism: Portunus trituberculatus (swimming crab)
Lineage: Eukaryota; Metazoa; Arthropoda; Malacostraca; Decapoda; Portunidae
Exons: 3
Source: RefSeq, a predicted model, not a curated record
AACAUCAGCCAUCAAUGAGUAACGUAAAUCAUGUGAAUGUUACCACAACAUCUCGACAUACCACAAACUUACCUGUGGUGUGAUAACGAGGUAGCAUUACAAUGGAUCAGGAAUAAUAAUUCCAAACUUCCAUAAUUAUGUCAUGAACAGAGUAAAUGAAAUCUGUGAAUUACAGCGAAAGUAUAACUUCAGACAUGUGGAGACUAAAGCUAACCCAACAGAUUUGCUGAGUCGAGGUGUGUCACUACAGGAGCUAGUAAAGCGGACACUAUGGUUUCGAGGCCCCGAGUGGCUCACCAACGAAACCCAAUGGCCCAAUGGCCGCAACAAAAGCCAUCUGAGUAAAGAAGUCAGUGUAACUCAAGCAGAUGUUGAGUCAGUCGCUUCUGAGACAUAACUAAAUUUUCAUCGCUGCGAAAAUUGAUCAGAGUCACGGAGUUUGACACAAGGAUUGGUGGCCUGACCUUCACCGAGCAGUUCCUCAGCAUCAGCACGGCGCUGCCCAGCAAGAAUGCGUACGGCCUCAGGGAGAACGCACACGACUCCUUCCGACACGUGAUGGACGGCUCAGUGUGGCGGCUCUUCUCCCGAGACGAGGGACCCGUGCCACAGGCCGGAAAGCAAGUGAACCUGUAUGGGUGCAUCCGUUCUACCAGUGUGUGGAGAACGACGGGCGAGCCCACGGCGUGCUGCUCCUCAACAGCAACGCCAUGGGUGAGCACAGAGUGGCAGAGUGACACAGCACUCUACACGCAGCCUUGGUGUGUAGUGAAGCUGAUUAUGUAACAUAGAAAUCAACCAACUUUUGGGUAAUGGCACCUGUGGGUGAAGGUAAUCAAUGCACACCUGUUCUGCGGUGGCUCUUCACUACUUUGCUGUUUAGUCAGUUUUGUAUCUAAGAUCUUCAUAGUAUCCAUCACAGCAGCUGUUCCACUCUGUAAGAUCGUCGAUAAGUGUUUGAAGCCCAGCCUUUGUUUUUGGCAAACAAAGCCUCUUUCUCGCUAGUUGUGGUGGAGCUUUCUUCUUUAUUGGGAUGGAGAUGCUGAGGGCAGAGUGAUCGCUGACUACCUCAGGCACCACCGUACACUGUCCACUAAUCCCCUGACCAUUGAGUACACAAGCGUAAUGAAGCCCGCCAGCCUUCACGUGCGUCACACAGGCACACAGGCACACAGACACACAGACACACAGACACACAGGCACACAGGCACACAGACACACAGACACACAGGCACACAGGCACACAGGGGGCCCCUAACAAGUGUGCUUCAGGAUGAUCUUGCACGAAAUGAUAGAAAGCCUUUCCAUUGCUAUUGUCAAAGCCAUUUAAAUGUCCUAGUUUUGCAUGCCUUGCGUUGAGGUCUCCAGCUAUCAGUGUUACAUCAUUGUAUAUGCACUCAGGAAUGUUACUUACAUUGAAACUGUUCUUUGAUGUAUACAGAUUUACUAUAUUUAAUACACCACUGUCUA